Molecule: non-coding RNA, 332 nt
Organism: Salvelinus sp. IW2-2015
Lineage: Eukaryota; Metazoa; Chordata; Actinopteri; Salmoniformes; Salmonidae
Source: RefSeq, a predicted model, not a curated record
CAUGGUCAUGGAGACAACCUGACUACACCUCCUGAACCCACAGAGGAACCAGCUGAGCAGCACAGGAACACAACACAGUCUCGCUGAGUCAGUAGACAUGGAGGAUGGGAAGCCUGAUUUGUUGAUCAAACAGGAGACAAUAGAGGACGGACCAGAGAGCUUGACCUGCUGAGUGGACUAAAGAUGGGGGAGCAAGGUGGUUGGCUGGGGGCUAAAAGAGGAGAUUGGGCGGCCAUCUUCGAUUCCCAGACCCAGACAGGUGCAACCAAGGGCCCAGGGACGACAUCACUGAGCAGGCCAGGACCAGAGGCGACAUAGUGGAGGUCAGUGGA